This 629-nucleotide long non-coding RNA is filed under the name Callithrix jacchus (white-tufted-ear marmoset). RNAcentral describes it as "lncRNA (ENSCJAG00000062148.2)". Lineage: Eukaryota; Metazoa; Chordata; Mammalia; Primates; Cebidae. The record is from RNAcentral.
AUUAUGUACUUUGCUCAAAUGUUGAUCAAAUGAUAUUGAUAUAAUUUUAUAAAUUCCGAAGUGCUAUUUACACCUGUUGCUGAGGAUAGGCAUAUAAUGAAAUUCUCUGGUAACUGAGUGGUCCAGGAAAGCAAUUGCUUGGUGACAUUCUGAGAGCCAUUUAGAAGGCCCCAUUUCUAUUUGCUGUUCUCUCUGGCUACUUGUAUCAGACACUUGUCUCCUCAAAUUUAUUUUUUCUUUCUUUUUUUAGUAUUAGACUCCUUCUGAAUUUUAGCAGAGCACAUGGUUGUUCAUAAAAAUAGACUGAAUUUUACAGGUGACCUAUGGCUGCAUGUGGCCAUGUGGCCAAAUUUCACCCAAUGGAAGUUGGAGCAAUAUGUUUUUCGGCCUGUAGAGGCACUGCUGGGCUGCCUUGGAUUCAGUCAGGUUGCUGGGUCGGUGGUCUUCCCCUGGAGUUUGUUUGCAGGCGUGGCGCGUACCCCCAACUAAUGUCACAAAGGUGUGCUGUUGAACAAAAGAAGGAAGCAGAUGAGAAGCUAUGGAAGGCUCUAGAGCAUUUGGGAGGGAGAGGCAGCAGGUAAAGAAUGGAAAAUGGCUCAAUAUGAUUUCAAUAUACAAACCUCCUCCUG